This 488-nucleotide ribosomal RNA is filed under the name Scolecobasidium humicola. Its description in RNAcentral is "eukaryotic LSU rRNA". It matches the Rfam family "Eukaryotic large subunit ribosomal RNA", at positions 87 to 580 of the family's 3401-position model. The record is from RNAcentral. Lineage: Eukaryota; Fungi; Ascomycota; Dothideomycetes; Venturiales; Sympoventuriaceae.
CGGCGAGUGAAGCGGCAACAGCUCAAAUUUGAAAUCUGGAGCCUUUGGCUUCCGAGUUGUAAUUUGCAGAGGGAGCCUCGGAGGGCGAGACGGUCCAAGUGCCUUGGAACAGGAUACCGCAGAGGGUGAGAGUCCCGUAUCCGGCCGAUCUUGCGCUCCGUGUGAGGCCCCUUCGACGAGUCGAGUUGUUUGGGAAUGCAGCUCCAAGCGGGUGGUAAAUUCCAUCUAAAGCUAAAUACUGGCCAGAGACCGAUAGCGAACAAGUAGAGUGAUCGAAAGAUGAAAAGCACUUUGAAAAGAGAGUCAAACAGUACGUGAAAUUGUUGAAAGGGAAGCGCAUGGGGGCAGACUUGGACGCGGGGUUCAGCGUUUCUAUUGGAGCGUGUACUUCCCCGCGUGCAGGCCAGCAUCGGUUCCGGGGGCCGGACAAAGACGUUGGGAAUGUGGCUCCCCUCGGGGAGUGUUAUAGCCCGGCGUGCAAUGCGGCC